Python bivittatus (Burmese python) is the source of this 6143-nucleotide non-coding RNA. The record is from RefSeq and is a predicted model, not a curated record. Lineage: Eukaryota; Metazoa; Chordata; Lepidosauria; Squamata; Pythonidae.
CCGGGCGGCUCUCCGAGCAGCGCUCGGCGGCCUCUUGGGCAGCGCGUCCCUUGCCGUUGCCGGACGUCGGGCGGCAGCCCCCGUCGCCCUUCCCCUCUCGGAGACCCCCUUCGCGGCGGGGCCGGCUGGCGGGUCUCGCCAGAGGCCCCUGUGGCGGGUCCGGCCCCCCGUUCCUCCUCCGGUGAGCAGAAGGACUGCGACCGGAGGGACGGUGUCCUUUCCUGUUCGGAGGUGACCCCGGCCGACGCGGGACUCGCCGAGCAAACGCCGCCUCCCCCCACGGUGCGGUGGAAGGGCAGAGGCAAGGGGGCUCCGGCGCUCCCGGCGAUAGAUCUCGCAGAGCCGAAGAGCGCCUUCCGAAUAGUCCGUUAAGCCCUGCGUGGAAUCCGGCUGUCGUGUCCCCGCCGGGGCGACUCUGGUCUGGAGAGCUGCUCUCGAGGGGCUUUCAAAGACAGGAAGCAGAUUGGGCUCCCACUGUUGUCUGCGCGAUCUGGAGGGAUUGAAAAUUCAAGAACGGGAAAAGAAGGAAUUAACUCCCUGUUCUCCAGCAUGCUGCUGACCCAAGCUUCCUGGGUCUUUGACUUUGAUUCACCUGAAGCAAAAUCGUGGAAGAGAGCCUGGCAUGUUACGGGAGCUCUCCCAAAUACUGCUAACUUCAGUUUUUCAUUGGUCGUGCCCCAUGCUCCAGCCAAGGGAACACACAUUCUCCUCUUAAUUCUUUUACUAGUUCUGGAUCUAGGACGUUAGUUACUGCCCCUUGUGUCCAACGUCCUACAUGGAGAGAGGGAGGGAGGAUUAAGUCGAAUUAUGGCUUGCUUGCUCUUCAUCCGGGGAAUGCCUCUGGAUCCAAAGCUUCCACUUUGCAUACAGGUGGCUGCAGGCAAUGUAGCUGCCUGGAGAUCAGCUGUUUCCCCGGGCUGGGAGGUCUUCCCACAGAGAUGGAAUAAGUUGUGGACCUGGGCUCGCAGGUGCUUUUUUAACUUGGAAACUGUAGGUGCACUGGAGCUUGUAAUAAGGAAGCAGAAAAGUGGCUUCUUAUCUUUUCAAUAACUUCCUCUUCCUGCUGAAGCCAGUUCUGCUUGCUUCAGAUUGGGGGGAAUGUCUGGCCUGAGUGGAUGUGGAAACUGGAAGCCCCGGUGUUCAAACUGGGAUCCAGGCCAGCCUUGGGCUUUAGCAGCAGGGAGCCUCCUCUGGUGCUGACCGAUUCUGAGAUGAGUCCCUUUCUGACUCGCAGGGUGUUCUGCUCCUUUGUCCAGCCCGCUUGAAGGUCCUCAGCAGAGGGCAAAUUAGGCUCUGGUUUUGCAGCAUGCUGUUGGCAGUCUCCUUGUUGCCUGACUAGGCCACACAGGGGACUUCCUUGGAGGGAUUCAGGAGUCUUGGCCUCCCCCAUUUGCCCUGCAGCUGUUGGCUUGCAGAGAGCUCGGCAGUGGUGGUAAGCUUCCUUCUGCUUCUGCCCUCAUGGACUUCUUUCUUCAGCCAUGGCCCUCCUGCUCAGGGAGACAGACUGAUUGGGGAGGAGGGGAGAGCAGAACUUGCUGGUCGUUAAGGCCCUUGAGGAGGGUCUGUAGGGAUCAGGCCAGAUUCUGCAGCCACUGACCAUGAGCCUUGGGCAGAUUGGAGGCUUCUGUCCAAGACCCACGUAAAAUUUGGGCCAACUGAUUCAGGAGAAUCAAAGUCAGCAUUAAAUGAAGUUGUAGUUUUGCCUUUACUCUAGUUGUGCACGAGAGUAUCAGAAGUCUGCAUGCCUCUCAGUUUCUUUAGCGUUUAUUGAUGUACGAGACUUUGGGACGAGCAUUUCUGGCAGCUGCUUUUUCUGCUUGCGCAAGAGACAGGUUGGGACUGGAAACUGGCUGAGGAAUAUGUCAAUAUCAGGGCAGCAAGAAAUAAGCUUGUUUAUUUGUUCCUUGAGGCAGUGGUUCCCUGCAGGGCUUUGGUUUGAGGGUGUGCAGUGAAUGCCCCUGGAUGCCUCGUUUGAAGGAGUUGGUCCUAAGGGAAAGGGGCCUUUCUUGCUGGGGCUCCAGGAUGAGAGCCGGGCAGGGAGAGGGCCUGCUUGCUUUGCAUCCUUCACACCUGGCAACGGGCUGCUCUGUCUUCCUGGUGAGCUGAGCGCAGCGCACCUCGUGGCUUCCCAGUGGGAAGACCUCCCACUGCAUGCAGAUAGCACAGCGCCUAAGCGAAUGCCCCCUUUUCCCCUGCCAGAUUUCUCUGCUUGGGUCCAAAGGCCUUGGAGAUAAGGGGUCCAGCGGGCCCAUCCUGAGUAAGGCUGAGUUUGUGGAGAAGGUGCGACAGAGCAACCAGGCUUGUCACGCGGGUGACUUCCACAGAGCCAUCCUGCUCUAUGGCGAAGCCUUGGGGGUUGAUCCCCAGAACUGCAUCCUCUACAGCAACCGCUCCGCAGCAUACAUGAAAACCCAGCAGUAUGACAGAGCUCUGGAAGAUGCCGUGAAGGCCCAGCUUCUGAACCCCAAAUGGCCAAAGUUGCUCCUGAGCACAGGAACCGCUCUGCCCAGCCUCUUGGGGUGCCAUUGGGAUCACGAGGUAGUCUGCCAUAAGCUCCUUGGAGGAAAGGAGGAGACGUGAAAUGGAACUGGAGUACCGUUUCCGUGGCUAGCACGUGGAUGCCGAGUGAAGAAGUGACAGCUUCUUGGAUCAGACGCACACUGACUAUGUGGAUAGAAGCAGGGAAGGGGGAGGUGAGAGCCUGGAGAGCAGUAGAUGGGGGGUCUUUUUCUCCCUCUCCCCCGGUGGUGGAGCUGGAUUCAGGCAGACAGAAUUAACGCCCUUCAUCCCAUCACGAAUCUGCUUUAUAACCUUGGCUGCCACAGGAACCUUGCAGGACUCCACACCCUCGUCGUUACGGUCAGAGACGGGUGUUCCUCUCUCUUCCACCGGAUUUCCUACCUGCCUACUGCCUCUCCACUGCGUAAAACUUUGCAGUUGAAAGGGGAGCCCUCCCUAGUUCUACUGAAUGUCUGCAUGGUGUCCGUGUGUGCGUGCACCCCUCUCCCUAAGAUUGGGGGUCCUGUCCUGCAAUCUUCUGGGAGUCUUGCAUGAAGAAAAGCCAGACACAUAACGGACUGUGGGCUGAGGGAAGAUGGCGCAGCUUUCAUCCUGCCCCUCUCAGCCCCAGGAAUUCGGGAUGUUCUUUGGAAGGGAAAUUUGAGCUUUGGCAUGGGUUUUUAUAGAUUUGUCGCUGCCUCUGGGUCUGCACUAGAAAGAGGCAUCACCAGUGCUUUUGGGUACAAAACCCAUCUCUGAACUGCAGGUAGAGAGCGUUGUGGAAAACCCACAAGAGCUGAAGGCACAUGGACCCCGUUCUUGCCUGAAAUGGAGAUGGCCAAGAUGGCUCCUCCCACAGAGCAUUAACCCCCCUCAUGCCAAGCCACUGAAGCUGGACUGGGCCAAGCUACAUUAUUCAUACCUUCUGCACUGAGUGGACUGGGCACGUAGGCCUAGGCUGCAUCUUCAGAUUUCUGACAGGGAAUGUGUGAAAUGCUUUGGAUAGAUUUUAGGCCUGAUUGGAGCAAACAGAAUGCCUCUCUGCUGCCAACUCAUUUAAAACCCAUUUUAACAUGUCCAGAUUGAAACAGAACUGCAACGUUGCCAGUGUUGGCCAGUCGGCUUCCCAGCCCACAGCUGCUGUGCUGGAGCCGUGAGAAAUGCUAGAAAUAGUAGAAGCACUCGUUGAGGGAGAAGGCUCUGGGAGGCAUGGAAGCUUUGCAUGUUCUUCGAGCCAGAUUUAUGGGGAAGUGGGUGCUAUAUAAGGUUGAGGACCGUGGAUGCAGCCCACAGAAGCACGGUGGCACUCAUUCAGAGUGUGUCCUCCAGCACCCCAUCACUAAGGGUAAAGGCUGUACGUUGGGGUUAUGAGAGGAGAAGUCUGCAGGAAGACUUAUUGGCCCCAGGAAGAUGAGCCCGAAUGGACAGAGUUUAAAUAGUCAAGUGUUGCUAAUGCUUGUGGGGAGAGCCUUGCACGAGAAUAAGAAUCCAGAAGAAGAGGGGGGUCUUAAUCCAGUAAAAUCCUACCUCUUCCGUAGCUUCUUUGUGUCCUGCACAAAAUUGUUUUGUAGCAUUCCAAAAACUGACCUGCUUCCCACUGCGGUUCAAGGGCAGCUCCUCCAGCACUGCAGGCAACUUCUGAGGCUUGGCAAACGCCUUGGUUUGCCUCCCAAGAGAGCCUCUGGACCCUGGACUCAGGGAUGGAGCCGAACCCAGGGGAGGAUCCUGGCAUUCCGCUUCGCUGCUGUCUCGAAUAGCUGUGCCAACUGCCCUCCUCCUCCUGGAAGAACACCCCUGCGGACUGAUCCCAACACAGGAGACCACUUCCCCAGCCCGCACUCUGCGCAAGAGCCAAUGGGAGAAUACAUUUUUAAUCCAACAGGCCCUUGAAUUGCAGAAAAUCUUUCAUGCGAGUAAGAAUAUGUGUUUUACUGAUGUUUUAACAACACUGCUGUUUUGCUUUUCUGUGAAAUCGAAAACAAGAUGGCUGAAAGGAGUUAAAACAAUCAGCUUGGACCAAAUACUGUAGAAAUGCUUUGCAGAACUUGCCAUUUGUCACUCACCCACAUGAAGAAAAGAUGGAGAAUGCAAACCUCUCUGGCUUUCUGUUCUGCUCAUCUCAAGAGCUGCUGGCUUUAUCGCUCUUUCAGGCAGAUCUUUGGUGGGUAAAAGCUGUAGACACCGACAGGAUUCACGGGGCUUCAUUCAGGCUGCAGGAACGCUGAGCUGGUGGUCCGAUGGUGCCAAUGCAGGCUGUGCCCGGCCAGCUCACAAGCAUCCAUACAGAAAGGAGACGGUCUUAAAUAGGGCAUCCCAAGGAAUCGGGCUGACAACUGGACUUUGGCAGGCGUUCUGGGGAGAGAGCAGGCAGAGGCUACCUGGAAGAAAGUGGACCACGCUAGUUUACAUCGAGCCUGUAAACAUUGUUCGGGGUCUCUCUUGGCAGCCAAUCUCUCAUAUUUUCUUACCUUGCCCAAAGGAUGCUGGCUCAGUGGUCACUCAGCGUUUGGAUACCUCUUCACAAUGGCUGUGGGGCUCCGUCACAUUGUGCAAACUGGUUCAACCGUUUCCUUUGCACAGUGCUCCUCUUCCCAUCCAUGCCAACCUCCUGCAUGGUGCCUUUUGGGGAGAGCAAGCCUCAAGGUGGCUGUCCUGGGAAAGAUGAUGGGUCCUUUCCCUUCCUGUGAUUCAGCCAGCUCUCCGCGCCUGCUGGUCGCUCCUCUCGGCCACUCAGAUCGCAUUGGGGAACCCCAGUGCGGACCAGGAAGGGCCUGGUCUGGAGGGUGCUUAGCACUGCUCCACGUGCCCACGAGGGAGGGUAACACUGCCUUGCUCCUGACAGCGGCCCCUGUCCGAUGGCUGUGCUGCUGGUGGUCUGUUGCCUGCUGCUCAAAAGGCUUUUUUACAACCAGGCCAGGUAGGGAAGAGUUUCGGAAGGUGAGCCCUCACCACAGCCAAGGGGGAGAUUGCAGCCAGUGUCUCAAGGAUGCCAGGGCGGGGGAGGCAAUCUUGCCUCCCAGCUCUUCUGCCAUCAGAAAGGUCUUGCAGAGCCCCCCCCCCCUUCUCUCCUUGCAAGUACUGCCUUCCCAUUUUUGGUCACCAGCAUGGCAGAAUAUAAUUUUUAAGGGGUUUGAAGUUCUCUCUGCUGUGGCUGGUUACUUGCAGUCCUAAAUGUGUGGACUGAUUGUGCUCAGUGGGACUUACUCCUGAGUAAGCACUCCCAGGAUUGCCUUGCUGAAGACGCUACCUUCGGGAGCCGCAAAGAGCAAAGUUUUUCUCCUUUGAGAACGAGAAUUGCAGUGAUGUGACCUGUGUGGCCUGAACUAGGCACUUCCUCCUGGGCUGACUCUGGAUGAGGGCCUGCCUAGCACCCCUCCCUUCAGUUCCAUGUGCCCCGGUGCAGAACUGCAGGGCAUGGUGGCCUUUGUCUCCACCUUGCAUGCCGCUGUGGAGGGAGGGUCCUGGAAUUUCUGCCAAGGUUUUGCCAGGAGCCUGAUUGGAGGGGGGCUUGUGUUCCCCCUUGGAGCAGUUGGAGGGAGAUGGGGGAAAGUGGGGUUCUUCCUGCAGAAAUAGAAGCUUUGCCUCCUGUUAAAAUGUUUCAUCUGGAUAAUUGUACAGUAAAGGGCAUUUGAUGCUGGGUUGUA